GAGUUGAUAGCUCAGUGGUAGAGCAUUCGGCUUUUAACCGAGCGGUCUUGGGUUCAAAUCCCAAUCAACUCA
Molecule: transfer RNA, 72 nt
Filed under: Eutreptiella gymnastica
Lineage: Eukaryota; Euglenozoa; Euglenophyceae; Eutreptiales; Eutreptiaceae
Description: tRNA-Lys
Rfam family: tRNA
About the family: Transfer RNA (tRNA) molecules are approximately 80 nucleotides in length. Their secondary structure includes four short double-helical elements and three loops (D, anti-codon, and T loops). Further hydrogen bonds mediate the characteristic L-shaped molecular structure. tRNAs have two regions of fundamental functional importance: the anti-codon, which is responsible for specific mRNA codon recognition, and the 3' end, to which the tRNAs corresponding amino acid is attached (by aminoacyl-tRNA synthetases). tRNAs cope with the degeneracy of the genetic code in two manners: having more than one tRNA (with a specific anti-codon) for a particular amino acid; and 'wobble' base-pairing, i.e. permitting non-standard base-pairing at the 3rd anti-codon position.
Source: RNAcentral